UUGAUUUCCGCCGCCCGCCGAAGCCGCCUCGGGCAAGGACCCGGCCGGCGACAAGGCCUCUUCCCCGGCGGCCUGCCCGCGGCCAGGCGGGCCCUUUCCUCCCUCCCCACCGCCCUGGCCGUGGCCAGUCUGCUCCUCCUCUCUUCGUCCGGGGCCCCGGGUCGUGGAAGCCUCUCGCCUCGCCUCCUCGCGUCUGGUUUGGAUUCACUCCUCCUCGAUUCGUCGCUCGUUUAGGCUCGUGAUUUGGUUUCUGCUCGUGCUCGAUUCGUCCGUUUGGAAUUGCGCCCGGUUUGAUUUUGCUCGUCCUCGCCGUCGUCCGUUUGGGGUCGCGUCCGGUUCGAUUUUGCUCCUCCUCGCCACCGUCGUCCGUGUAGGGUCGCGUCCGGUUCGAUUCUGCUCGUCCUCACCGUCGUCCGUUUAGAGUCGUGUCUGGUUCGAUUUUGUUCGUCCUCGCUGUCGUCCGUUUGGGGUCGCGUCCGGUUCGAUUUUGCUCGUCCUCACCGCCGUCGUCCGUGUAGGGUCGCGUCCGAUUCGAUUUCGCUCGUCCUCGCCGUCGUCCGUGUAGAGUCGCGACUGAUUCGAUUUCGCUCAUCCUCGCCGUUGUCCCGACGCGCCCGCGUGUUCUUGGUCCGGUCUCGCCUCGUCGGCGGUCUCCUCCGUCUCGUUUGCGUAGUAGCAAUUCUGUCCGCGCGUGCUUCUGUUAUCCGAACUAGCAGUCCUGGGUUUCGUGUUCACGUCGGUUACAGGAAUGAACAGGUCUGGUUUCGAAAUUGGAUUACGGCCGGACACGGGGAGCAGUGUUUGUUUAUCGUGCUAGUUCAGACUGGUUCGUCCGUUCCGUCACCUACGUUGCUCUUGGUGAUUUUCAGAACUCAAAAUGUGUGCUCUCCUGUGAUACUCUGUCAAUUCUUGGCCCUCUGUCAGUUCUUGUUGGCCCUCUGUCAGUUGUUGAGUUCCAGGGUCUGUUAAUUCUUGAGUUCUCAUUGUACUGGCUAGGCGUGUGCGCUCUCAUCCUAGAUUCAGAGAUGGGGUGAUUCCUUUACGCUUGAUCUGAUGGUGUAUACUGUUUAUGUUCUUUCCAAUUUGUUUCUUUUUAUCAUGCUUAGCUAGUGUGUUCCGAGCAGAAAAGUUUUACAAGAGUGCAAACCAUGUGGCCUGCUGCUGCUACUGUUGGACAAGGUUCCUUCUUUUCUUCCCGAUGUUACUAUUUCCAUUGAAGUACUCAUACGAGUUCUAGGUGAGCUGCUGCUAAUUAGUUCCCCUUAGACUACAUUCUAGAUUGCAUGGCAUAACUCCAAUAUUUUGUCAUUGCACACUUGGGCAUAUAAUUCUGCUGUGAGCAUAACUCUAGAAUUUAUUUAUCUGUGAAAGCAUGUUCAUCACAUGUUUUUUAUCAAUGCUGGUAACUUGUGUCAUGCCCCUUUCCUUUUGGACAACAAUUUCAACGAACCUAUAACGUGGACAUGUGCUGCUUGUUUUCUUGUGAUGAUGGUGAUCCAAUUGAGUAGCCCAACUCUUAUGCUCUGACAUUUGUUAAUCCCCAGUUAGUGUGCAUGAAAAAUUAUUGUUUGUCAUGUUAAAUUCUAUGGCAUCAACUCGGUAUUGUGAUUAAUGACUUAGUAUUUGUUUAGAGUAGAUACUUGACUUCUUUUUCUUAAAUUUUUAGUGAUAUGUGUGUUUUGUUAUGUCUUAUGUGGAUAUCAUAUUCUUUCUUUGUAUUACUAUAGCCAGUCAAUGGAAAUGCUUUUCUUGCUUUGCCUAGACUUUGUGACAAUUAACUUAUAGUGCGAUCAUUGAUCAUUGAGCUUCUGACACCCUAUUCCGUAAAAUUCCGUUGUAAUGUUUGCUGGAUCAUCGAGUAGUUAAUAUUGAUUCUGAGUUUGUUGGAUCAUUAACUUCUAUGUGUGCUUUGGUUAUCUGAGAGACACUCACUAUCCUGUGUUUCAUAUUCGUGGCGGAGCGAUGAACGAUUAUGUUUCGUGUUUGCCGGUCUGGUUUUGGAUUUGGAUUACGGAGACGGGGAGAGGUCAAAACAAGGUCAGUUUAUCGUGUUCGCUCAGAUCGGUUCCUCGGUUCUGUCGCUGCGUUGUUCGUCGGCGAUUUCCAGACCUCAAACGCAUGCGCCCUUGUGAUACUCUGGUUUGGCUCGCUGGUCGUUAUGGCUGUUCGUUACGGUUGUUCUUAUGUUCUUGAAUCACCCAUCUUAUAAGCAGAGAUGGGGUGACACAUAAUGGUUGUUUUGAUGGUUGCUUAUUUAGUGCUCUUUCCAAUUGGGUUCUUCUUGUCAUGCUUUGCUUAUGUUCCCAAUGUCUGUCUUUCCAUAUAUGGGGAUGCGUUAGGGUGCAAACCGUGUAGGCCAUGGUGUGUUUUUAACUAGCUAUGGUGUGUUCUAUACUAUCUGAUGUGGAAGGUGGAAAUAUUGAUAUCACUUCUGUGUUAGUAUACUUGAUAUGGUGUGUUUUAUUCAAGUAAUUAACCACAUCUCUUACAAAUUUUCCUUGAGAUACAUGUUUAUAUGGCAGGAGUGAUUGUCUUGACGAAUAAUCAUUUAUGCUAACAGAUCAGUACUUGAUCAUAGGUACAGACAUGUGGAUCUGGACAUUUCACAUUUGCUCUUUAUUGUGUUGCUAAGGACACCGAACGGUUUGUCUAGGCCACCGCAUAGCCUGGCUAAUCAGGUUGUAGUGAUUAGGGAGAAGCUUGCAGAACCGUAUGAAUUUGAACAACAAUGGUCGAGAGCAGUACAAAUGCUUAGUGGCAUUGACUUGGACUCAGGAAUAAGGAUGCUUGAUGACAAACAAAUUAUCCAAGUGCGUCCAGAUUGCAUGACUAUUUGGAGGAUGAUGAUGCAGUGAAUGUUGAAGCUUUUAUCAACAAAGCCUCAUUUUUUGUCACAAACAGCAACCAGGAAGUUCUGAACUUGUAAUACAAGGUAUGCUAUGCGAGAAUUUUAGAUCUAAAGAAUAAAUUCUUGGAAGCUGCACUUCGAUACUAUGGUAUCUCUCAAAUUGAGCAACGCCAAAUUGGGGAUGAGUAAGGCUUACUCUAUUCAGUUGUAGAUUUGUUUCUCUCUUCUGCAAUUUACUCAUUUUUAAUGUUCUGUCUUGUAUGGUUCUUUGUUGCCUUGCCGGUCUAGUGAUGCCUAAUUUCUAUUUUACACCCUUCAAAUUACCCUACUUGAUACUCAUGUUUAAGUAUUGCAGUGGUUAUUAGCAAGUUGUGUUUGGAACUGAUAUGGCCUCCAUAUUUUAUUCUCAAAGAUCUUGAUGGAACAUAGUUUCUGUAUUUUCUCUGAUAGAUUGACGAAAAUGCUCUUUAACAAGCUCUUAGUGCUGCUGUAACAUGCACAAUAUUGUAACUGAUGAGAGGCAACCACCGUUGCCAACUUGAAAUCAGUUUACUCAUUCAAGUUCUGGAAUUUCUUUAUAGAUUUCUGGGUUUACUUCGAUCUUGCAUGUAUUAGGUUUCCCUUUGUGCCCCUGUCUAUGUCGGUUUCUUGUGUGCAAGUGCUUCAUUAUGUGUGUGUGUGUGUGACUGUGUGUGACUUGUUGGUGAAUAUGUGUGUGGCUUGACUCUGUGUGUGUGGCUUGAUGGUGUGUGUGU
Long non-coding RNA from Triticum dicoccoides, 3603 nucleotides. RefSeq lists it as uncharacterized. The transcript has 6 exons. NCBI's taxonomy places the organism in Eukaryota, Viridiplantae, Streptophyta, Magnoliopsida, Poales, Poaceae. The record is from RefSeq and is a predicted model, not a curated record.